Molecule: ribosomal RNA, 253 nt
Filed under: uncultured bacterium
Lineage: Bacteria
Description: partial 16S ribosomal RNA
Rfam family: Bacterial small subunit ribosomal RNA
Source: RNAcentral
UACGAAGGGGGCUAGCGUUGCUCGGAAUCACUGGGCGUAAAGGGUGCGUAGGCGGGUCUUUAAGUCAGGGGUGAAAUCCUGGAGCUCAACUCCAGAACUGCCUUUGAUACUGUAGAUCUUGAGUCCGGGAGAGGUGAGUGGAACUGCGAGUGUAGAGGUGAAAUUCGUAGAUAUUCGCAAGAACACCAGUGGCGAAGGCGGCUCACUGGCCCGGUACUGACGCUGAGGUGCGAAAGCGUGGGGAGCAAACAGG